CUCUCUCCUAGGGAAAGGUUUCGCAGCCCUUGCUAUCUUUUCUGACUCUAUUAUCUUUCUUACUGCUGCUCUCUCUCCUAGAACUCUUUAGGUACAGUUAUCACCCAAGCUUGGUCUUCUUCCAUCAGGUGUUAUUUGAAAUCUUUUAAUCAUCUUGUCACCUAUCCCCACCCUACUUAGAAUCAAACCUAAAAUGGUAUGAUGAACAGAUUGUACAGGAAAAGUAAUAAUUAGGGGGGAUCUGUUGUAUUAUAACUUAUCCUUUAGCCUGUGUUUGAAAUCUUUGAUUUUCGUAGGGAUUUCCCUCCCUCUUCUUUUCCCCCCACAAAUUCGUACACAUUGAAGAUCCAAGCACAUCCUUACAGAAAAUUGAACUGUUUAAAAAAAAAAAUGAUUUGCUUAUAUUGCUUGCAUGCUUAUUCUAAAUCUGCAAUGUAUAUAAUUGAUGAUAGUACCGUUAUUAUCCCUGCAAAAAAUUAAAAUAUUUAGUUCUAUCUUUUUACUAUUUUUAUUAGUAGUAUUAUAAUAAUAAUAUUAUUAUUUACUAUUCCACUUGGUUGUUCUUACGAAGUGCUACUUGCAGAUUAUAGAUGCGGCAGAUGAGGUGAUUGAUAGUGUUGACACAGAUGAAUUAGCGAAGUACUUUUCUUUCAAAAGUGAUCCAGAAGAUGAGGGGGCUGAGAAAGUUAAGAAGAAGAUGGAGACGGCACGUGACCAAUUAGCGGAAGCUCUUUACCAAAAAGGAUUAGCUAUGGCAGAGAUUGAAUCCUUGAAGCGAGUAGUAACACAAGUGAUGAAGACUAAAGAAUUCCUCAACUGAACAGUGUGUCAACAACCAGGUAAUCUCAGUUAUCACUCAAGAAUUCCUUCACUUACAUUGCUGCCAUUGCUUGGAAAUGGAGACUAAAUUGGGCACAGGUUUUUUUUGGUUUUUAUUUUUUUCAUUUAUCCUUUUCGAUGUUGUGAUGCAAAGCGUCAUUCUUUGGAAGCUGACAUGGGCAUGGAGAUAGAAGGUGAUGGGCGUGCGCGCAUAUCUUCAACUCGAUCUGGAAGCAGAUCUCGUCUUGCCUCCUGCACCAGCUGGCAGAGUCGACAACCAGGUAAUUUCUAAUCUCAGUUGUCACUCAAGAAUAAAUUCACUUACAUUGCUACAAUUUCUUGGAAAUGGAUAUCGUAUUUCAUGAGUAAAAGAUCAAAAUUAUUUUGUUGACACGGCUUCUACAUGUUCCAAUUAGUAUGGUGUUAGAAUUGUAUGAUGCACGAUUCGAUUCAUACAAUUUAAUAUGAGUUUCAACCAAAAUUAUUUGAAUUGUGUUGUUUGAAAAUUGGGUGUCUUGUUGAAUUGAGAAUUGAGUAGUUCGUCUAUGUUUUUGUUUACAUAAUGUAUUGAAAUGAUGCUUUUUUCUGUUACUCUACAAUGAAACAAAAAUAGGACAAUUGCUUAUAUUCAUAUACGUGGUUAUAUAUAAUUUAUUUAUAUUGAUACUAUGUAGUAUUUGACUUUGAUUGCUACAGUGUUCCCACAUAUGUGUGAGGUUUGGAAAUUCCUUUCCAAUAAUUCGGGCUAUAUUUGAUAAGCAUCCCGCAGAUCUUGUAUGAGAAGGAAAUAAGAAAUGGAAAAAAAAAAAAAAAACUUUGUUUAUAGUUUCAUGUGGAAAAAACAUGCAAAGAGCGAACUGCUAAUACAUGUAUUAUCUUAUGCAAUUUUAUCUUUUCUUUUGUGGAAAUUUUGUUGGAAUUUUGUAUUUCAUUUGUUGUGAUGGGUUAUAGAAACCAAAAACUCACUUUUCGUAGUUUUUAGAUAAUUAGAGAUUGACAAUUCCAACUUCCUUUACUUCAUUCAAAAAGUUGUUCAGAAUAAUUGAUCAGAAUUAUUUUGAGGAACCGGUUUGUGCAUAUUAUUCAAAAUAAUUUUACUUUUAAGAGCAGUUAGUUUUUCGUUUGUAUUUUUUUUUUUCCUUUGUGUUUUUGGCGCUAACCCCUUGCAGGCAAUGACACAUAUAGACAUGGUUAAUCAUUUAAGGUAAUCUCCUAUACUUUUUGAUUUUAUUUUUUUCAUUCAGGACAAUGCAUCGUUUAGGUUGGGGGCAGAAAAUUCUUAUUUUGAGAAGAAUUUAUAUAUUUGCUUGUUGCUAUGAGUUAGUUGUUUUGUUUUUUAAAAAAAAAAAAGUUAGUGCUCAUGGUAAUCUUUUGUUCUAUACAUUGGGUGAUUGGGCAUACUUGUGGUAUUUUAUUGAAGAAUGAUAGUAGACUUUUAACGCUGUGAGUUUUGUGCCAAUCAUUUAUUGGAGAGUUAUUAUACAUCUACUCUUAAUUUUUCUUUGGAAACGCAUUAAUUUAUUGUUUAGUCUCAUUAUUUUUUCAUUUUUGGUUGAAUGCUUAGAAUAAAUCAAUUUGUUAUCAUACUUUUACUCCCUCGAGGACAAUGCAUCGUUCAGGUUGGGGGGAGAAAAUACUUAUCUUGAGAAGAAUUUAUAUGUUGCUUGCUACAAUGAGUUAGUUGUUUUGUUUAAAAAAAAAAAAAAAA
Non-coding RNA from Camellia sinensis, 2527 nucleotides. NCBI's taxonomy places the organism in Eukaryota, Viridiplantae, Streptophyta, Magnoliopsida, Ericales, Theaceae. The record is from RefSeq and is a predicted model, not a curated record.